Molecule: ribosomal RNA, 1666 nt
Filed under: Escherichia coli
Lineage: Bacteria; Pseudomonadati; Pseudomonadota; Gammaproteobacteria; Enterobacterales; Enterobacteriaceae
Description: partial 23S ribosomal RNA
Rfam family: Bacterial large subunit ribosomal RNA
Source: RNAcentral
AUGCUGGAGGUAUCAGAAGUGCGAAUGCUGACAUAAGUAACGAUAAAGCGGGUGAAAAGCCCGCUCGCCGGAAGACCAAGGGUUCCUGUCCAACGUUAAUCGGGGCAGGGUGAGUCGACCCCUAAGGCGAGGCCGAAAGGCGUAGUCGAUGGGAAACAGGUUAAUAUUCCUGUACUUGGUGUUACUGCGAAGGGGGGACGGAGAAGGCUAUGUUGGCCGGGCGACGGUUGUCCCGGUUUAAGCGUGUAGGCUGGUUUUCCAGGCAAAUCCGGAAAAUCAAGGCUGAGGCGUGAUGACGAGGCACUACGGUGCUGAAGCAACAAAUGCCCUGCUUCCAGGAAAAGCCUCUAAGCAUCAGGUAACAUCAAAUCGUACCCCAAACCGACACAGGUGGUCAGGUAGAGAAUACCAAGGCGCUUGAGAGAACUCGGGUGAAGGAACUAGGCAAAAUGGUGCCGUAACUUCGGGAGAAGGCACGCUGAUAUGUAGGUGAAGCGACUUGCUCGUGGAGCUGAAAUCAGUCGAAGAUACCAGCUGGCUGCAACUGUUUAUUAAAAACACAGCACUGUGCAAACACGAAAGUGGACGUAUACGGUGUGACGCCUGCCCGGUGCCGGAAGGUUAAUUGAUGGGGUCAGCGCAAGCGAAGCUCUUGAUCGAAGCCCCGGUAAACGGCGGCCGUAACUAUAACGGUCCUAAGGUAGCGAAAUUCCUUGUCGGGUAAGUUCCGACCUGCACGAAUGGCGUAAUGAUGGCCAGGCUGUCUCCACCCGAGACUCAGUGAAAUUGAACUCGCUGUGAAGAUGCAGUGUACCCGCGGCAAGACGGAAAGACCCCGUGAACCUUUACUAUAGCUUGACACUGAACAUUGAGCCUUGAUGUGUAGGAUAGGUGGGAGGCUUUGAAGUGUGGACGCCAGUCUGCAUGGAGCCGGCCUUGAAAUACCACCCUUUAAUGUUUGAUGUUCUAACGUUGACCCGUGAUCCGGGUUGCGGACAGUGUCUGGUGGGUAGUUUGACUGGGGCGGUCUCCUCCUAAAGAGUAACGGAGGAGCACGAAGGUUGGCUAAUCCUGGUCGGACAUCAGGAGGUUAGUGCAAUGGCAUAAGCCAGCUUGACUGCGAGCGUGACGGCGCGAGCAGGUGCGAAAGCAGGUCAUAGUGAUCCGGUGGUUCUGAAUGGAAGGGCCAUCGCUCAACGGAUAAAAGGUACUCCGGGGAUAACAGGCUGAUACCGCCCAAGAGUUCAUAUCGACGGCGGUGUUUGGCACCUCGAUGUCGGCUCAUCACAUCCUGGGGCUGAAGUAGGUCCCAAGGGUAUGGCUGUUCGCCAUUUAAAGUGGUACGCGAGCUGGGUUUAGAACGUCGUGAGACAGUUCGGUCCCUAUCUGCCGUGGGCGCUGGAGAACUGAGGGGGGCUGCUCCUAGUACGAGAGGACCGGAGUGGACGCAUCACUGGUGUUCGGGUUGUCAUGCCAAUGGCACUGCCCGGUAGCUAAAUGCGGAAGAGAUAAGUGCUGAAAGCAUCUAAGCACGAAACUUGCCCCGAGAUGAGUUCUCCCUGACUCCUUGAGAGUCCUGAAGGAACGUUGAAGACGACGACGUUGAUAGGCCGGGUGUGUAAGCGCAGCGAUGCGUUGAGCUAACCGGUACUAAUGAACCGUGAGG